CGAAUAGUCCGUCAGGUAAAGUACUGAAUUUGAACGAUCUUUCGUGGCAUCUUACAGCCCUGCCUUUUUGCCGCCUCGUCUCCCCCCCAACCGCCGAUGUAAGGACCACCGUAGGACGCGAAACAAGUUUGAAAUCCAGCUUUAAAUGAAAUGCGAUCUGUGAAGGGCGCGUUAUCGUGCUUCAGUCUUCAUUUCUGACGCGAACGUGACCCACGCGAUGCAUUGGGAGCUUGGACCAGGAAAUUAAUGCCGCUUUACACAUAUGUACUUAUGAAUGUCUGUACGUGCUCGUAUAGUAUACACAUAUAUAAUUGGAACUCCGCUUUCUGUAUACCAUUUCGGGAC
Molecule: long non-coding RNA, 345 nt
Filed under: Drosophila guanche
Lineage: Eukaryota; Metazoa; Arthropoda; Insecta; Diptera; Drosophilidae
Source: RNAcentral